CAGUAGCCACGGUAAUACGUAGGGUGCAAGCGUUAAUCGGAAUUACUGGGCGUAAAGCGUGCGCAGGCGGUUAUAUAAGACAGAUGUGAAAUCCCCGGGCUCAACCUGGGAACUGCAUUUGUGACUGUAUAGCUAGAGUACGGCAGAGGGGGAUGGAAUUCCGCGUGUAGCAGUGAAAUGCGUAGAUAUGCGGAGGAACACCGAUGGCGAAGGCAAUCCCCUGGGCCUGUACUGACGCUCAUGCACGAAAGCGUGGGGAGCAAACAGGAUUAGAGACCCGAGUAGUCCCUGUCUCUUAUAC
RNAcentral lists this ribosomal RNA (301 nucleotides) under uncultured bacterium. Its description in RNAcentral is "partial 16S ribosomal RNA". It matches the Rfam family "Bacterial small subunit ribosomal RNA", at positions 509 to 807 of the family's 1533-position model. The record is from RNAcentral.